This is a long non-coding RNA of Panicum virgatum (switchgrass), 377 nucleotides long. RefSeq lists it as uncharacterized. The transcript is spliced from 2 exons. NCBI's taxonomy places the organism in Eukaryota, Viridiplantae, Streptophyta, Magnoliopsida, Poales, Poaceae. The record is from RefSeq and is a predicted model, not a curated record.
GUGGGUGAAUUCAACGCACCCACGCGUUGACCUCAGCCCGAGCCAGCAGCAAGGGAGCAGCAGGAGCUGGCCAAGGGAUGGUGGAAAAGGUUUGAAUAAAUAUCACUCGGCGGCCAAAUCGAUCUCAUCCUCCUCAGUUCAUUCCCCUUUGCCCGAGCUGCCUUCACCGGCGAAAUUCGUCGCUAUUAAGCCAUCUCUCGUCGAUUACUUGCAACCACACCACCACCAGCAAGCCACGAACCUAUUUGAGCAAACUCCAGUUCGAGCCAUCCCUUGUCGCCGCCGGUCACCGUGCCCCUAUUUCUGUCCGCCGUACGGAAGAGGAAAGUCGUCCAAGCCGAGCCCGUCAAGCCGACGUCGGAGGAUUCAGAAAAGGA